ACGCUCGACACCUACGGGAAGGCAGCAGUGAGGAAUAUUGGUCAAUGGGCGCUAGCCUGAACCAGCCAAGUAGCGUGAAGGAUGAAGGCUCUAUGGGUCGUAAACUUCUUUUAUAUAAGAAUAAAGUGCAGUAUGUAUACUGUUUUGUAUGUAUUAUAUGAAUAAGGAUCGGCUAACUCCGUGCCAACAGCCGCGGUAAUCUGAGCGGGCUGGCAAGGC
RNAcentral lists this ribosomal RNA (219 nucleotides) under uncultured bacterium. Its description in RNAcentral is "partial 16S ribosomal RNA". It matches the Rfam family "Bacterial small subunit ribosomal RNA", at positions 328 to 539 of the family's 1533-position model. The record is from RNAcentral.